UUUUUUUUUUUUUUUUUUUUUUUCUUUUUACAGCUGCACUUGUGGCAUAUGGAAGUUCCCAGGCCCGGGGUUGAAUCACAGCUGCGGCUGCCGGCCUAUGCCCCAGUCACAGCAAUGUGAGAUCUGAGCCAUGUCUGUGACCUUCACCACAGCUCAUGGCAAUGCUGGAGCCUUAUCCCACUAAGCAAGGCCAGGGAUCGAACCUGCAACCUCAUGGUUCCUAGUCAGAUUCAUUAACCACUGACCCACGACGGGAACUCCUAGCCUGCUUGUUUUAAUCAAAAAUCUGUCUUCCAAUAUUUAGGGGCUCUCACAGAAAACCCAAGAUGGUCAGUUCCUGAAUAGAUGCCAUGUAAACACCAGAUAAAACUUCUGAAGAUUAAGGAAAUCCUCAACUCCUAAGUAUCCCCAGAUUUUAAGUGCCACAGGCAGAUGGGGAGUGGGGCAGGGGAGGGUGGGGAAGAAUACUCUUUUUUUUUUUUUUAGCACCCGUCUUGUGGCAUAUGGAGGUUCCCAGGCUAAGGGGUCGAAUCAGACCUGCAGCUGCCAGCCUACACCAUGGGCAGAGCAAGACCAGAUCCGAGCCACAUCUGUGAUCUAAACCACAGCUCACAACAACGGCAGAUCUCCGACCCACGAGACGAGACUGGGUAUUGAACCUGCAUCCUCAUGGAUACUAGUCAGAUUUAUUUCCCCUUAACCACAACGGGAACUCCCAAGAAUACUCUUUUAUUUCUAGAGAAAUUGAGGUACAAAAGAGGGCCACACUUCAUUCUUCUGAGUUGUGGAAGCAGCCAAAUCCUGUGGAAGGUGCAAGAUUUAGUGGCCCACACUCAGGGCUGUGCUUCGUGCCAGGCAUUCUGUUAAGAACUUUUAAGUAUUAUCUUCUUUGAUUUGUGAGGUGAUGGCUAUUAUCUCCACUUUAUAUAUAGAUGAAGAAAUGGAGGCUUAGAGAGUUUAAAUAAAUGGCCUCAGACUACGCAACUAGUGAGUGGCUAAGUCUAGAUGCCCCCAGCCACUGCACAGCACUGCCUGGCCCACUUCCCCAGAUCAAAGUCACCUUGGUCUACUAUUUCUGGCACUAAAUCCCCACGUGCUACCCUCUGGUUCUUUCUGGAAGCUGGCUCAAGCCCUUGCUGAAUGGUUGAGUAUUGCUACCAUGUACUAGAGAACGCUGAGGCGUGGCAACUUUUUGGAGUCCCUUGCAGACUAUUUUAGCAAUGAUCACUCACUUCUCCACGCUGUUCAGAUGACCUACCCUGGCUUAUGUGUCCACCACCCUGGUCACACGCACGUGCCUCCCUGGGAACGGCAGGCACUUGGCACCUCUUGCCGCCCAGGCCCCAGCCAAGCUCUUUGGAGUCAGGCCUCUUUAAGAGAGGAAUGUGGUAGCAGUUACUUUACAGGCAGCUCAGCCUGAUUAUGGGGUGAGGCACUUACGUGCUGUCCAGUUGGGAGCUUCUGGGUAGCCCAUUUACAGUGCUCAGAACUGGGGGUACCCUUGUCUCGGGUGCUUUGAGGUGAUAACACUUGCCGCGCUCAUUAACAGAUAGGCGGAGCAUGCUAUCAAACUGUGGCACCUUGGAAAACCUGCAGAAACCCUCCUCUGGUUCCACACAUAGGGGUUUCCCUUCUUCUGAAAAUAGAUAUGCAUUGUGUUAAAGAGGGACCCUAAAAAUAGAGUGGAGCUGAAUGGAAGAACUAAAGGACUAAACACAGACAUUUCCCUUCUGAUGUAUUUGCUGCUUGUUUGUUCUGGGAAAGUCAUCCUACCCAGCUUUCCUAUCCUGUCUGUGUCUGUGAUGAUUUGGGGGGAAGGUGCUUGGAGAUUCUCAACAGGAAAUGUGGGUCUGAUGCUGGCUAGAUCCUCAGUGCAUUUGUGUUCUGAAAUCUCAGGGCUGUGAGAUUAACUGUGACCCUAAAGGGCCUCUUGGCCUCCCAACCUAGAUCAUCUUUCUUUCCUGUUGCCUUUCUUGAUGUUCCUGUUGCCUGGUGUUGAGCUGGAUGUGGAAGACUCUGUCCCAGAUGAUUUAAAAACUGUUUAUAGGCACCCUGCUCCUUUGAUCUCCCCAUUCCUCCCGCCAGUGGGCUUGGGUCAGCCAGGGAUGUGAUCACAGUGGUUAAGGGCAUAGGUUCUGAGCCUGAAAGCCUGGGUUUGAAUCCUGGCUCCAUCACUUACUGGCUGAUGGAUAAGGACAAAUCACUGAACUCUCUGAUAAACCUCAGUCUCCUCACCUAUAAAAUGGGGAUAAUAAGAGUUAUAAAUAAAUGGGUCUUAAUUAAACUUGAAAAACCUUUGCACAAUAAAGGAAACCGUUGACAAAAUGAAAAGGCAACCUACGGAAUAGGAGAAAGUUUUUGCAAAUGAUAUGACUGGUGAGGGCAUAUCCAACAUAUGUAAACAGCUCACAGUACUCAACAUAAAACAACAACAACAACAACACAGCAACAACAAAAAAACCCUCAGGAGUUCCUGUUGUUGCUCAGUGGGUUAAAAACCUAACUAGUAUGCACGAGGAUGCAGGUUCAAUCCCUGGCCUUACUCAGUGGGUUAAGGAUCUGGCGUUGUCAUGAGCUGUGGUAUUGGUUGUAGAUGUGGUUCAGAUCCCUCAUUGCUGUGGCUAUGGCAUAGGCCAACACCACAGCCACAGCAAUGCCAGAUCUGAGCCACAUCUGUAACCCACCAUGGCCCCCGGCAGCGCUGGAUCCUUAACCCACCAAGUGAGGCCAGGGAUCGAACCUACGUCCUCAUGGAUGCUAGUUAUGAGGUUUGUUUCCACUGAGCCACAAUGGGAACACCUCAGGUUUUUAAGUUAGCAGUGAAAAAAAGGAUUGAGAUAGCAGCAAAGUGUAGAAGCCUGGUAAUGUUUCUUCCCUAGAGGGAGGUGGUCGCUAGCCUAAUGGUUAGCGCAUAGAUAGCCUCCAGAGCAAGGAGCCUGGUGUGUUCCCACUGAACUCUCACACGUGGGAAGGAAUGAUAGAUAACAGGCUCUGUGGGUCACGGCUCUCCGGAUGAUGUGUAUGAAUAGGUGUCCUCCUUCAGGUCACAAGGAGGCUUCCUGGAAUAGCUUCAGAGUUCUUUGGGGGAGCUGAUCCCCUUCAAGAGUAAUAUGCCUUAUAAGGCCUGGGGUUGCAUCUCAAACAAUUUCAGGCUUAUGUACAUGGCCAUACAUUUGAGGCCAUCCAUAUUAACCUUGUAACUUUCAAGGCUUUUUUUUUUCUUAGUAUUUAUAAAAGGUAUUUUGAGAUCUUUAAGCCAUGAGUUUAAACAAAUGCCACAGGAAAUCUCACCUCUUCUGGCUCUCAUUCCAUAUGCAGGAAAGGCUCAAAUAUGCAUAUUAGCCAUGUAGGGUAUUCUCAAUGGCCAGAUAGGCCAUUGUCUUGGAGAGAUCCUAAGGUGGAAAUCCCUCCUUCCCUGCCUCCUUCCUUUCCUUCUCCUCCUCCUUCUUCUUUCUUUCUCUCUCUCUUUCUCUCUCUCUCUCUCUCUCUCAUGAGAAGGAAGAAGUUUUUUUCUGGAUGGGUGUACCAUCUGGGAACAGAGUGUGAACCAAACUCUCAGAAAACCUGAGUUCAAGGCUUGGCUUUGCCACCCAAGUACUGGGAAAGGAACUUGACCUUUUAAUUUAACUGAAACUGGUAUUAAUGGUACUUUCCCCACUUCCAUCCAGCCUCCCAAGGUUGUUAGAAGGAUCAAAAAGAAAUUGCAUGAGAAAAUUUUCUGAUAAAAUAUUGUUUACCUGGACAAGAAAAUCACCACUUCCUGUCAUCAGCACUCAACUCAAAUGCCAUCUCUUCCAUGAAGACUUCUCUGGUUUCUCCAGCAUUUGAUAUUCUCUCCUGACUCUGAAAUCCUGUGAUAUUUUGCUUAUGCCUCUCUCUUGACACUUAAUUUUAUCCUGUUGUAUCAUUACUUAUAUCCAUGUCUUAGGCAACCGGAAGGCAGAAUCCAUGCCUAUACCAUAAUUAUGUCCUCAUUAUAGUACACUGAACUAAUUAUUCUACAUCACUCUUAUCAGAGAAGUUCAUAACAGUGCACCUACACAUGGUAGGUACUCAAUAAAUAUUUGUUUUAGGUUUUUUUUGUGCUUUAUUUUUUUUUAUUACUCAAUGAAUUUAUCACACCUGUAGUUGUACAAUGAUGUUUUUAGUAUUUUUGCUUAUGCUAUGUUUUUAGUUGCAGUUUUGUUUUUAGAUUUAUUGUAUAAUUUAAAUACAGUAAAAUUUAUUCUUUUCAGUGAACAUUUCUAUAGAUUUUAACAAAUACAUAUGUAGUUAUAUAACUGCCACCACAAUCAACCUCCAGAAUUCCCUCAUUCCCCUUGAUUGUCAGCCUCUUUCCCCAGCCCUAACCCCUGGCAACCAGGGAUUUGUUUUCUGUCCUUAUAAUUUUGCCUUUUCCAGAAUUUCAUAUAAAUUGAAUCAUGCAGUAUGCAACCUUUCAAAUCCAGCUUCUUUCACCUAACAUAAUGCAUCUGUAAUUCAUUCAUGUUAUGUUUAGUUUAUCUAUUCUUUUUUAUGACUGAGUAGUAUUUCAUUAUUUGGUUAUACCACAGUUGGUUUAUCCAUUUACCAGUUAAUGAACACUUAGGUUGUUUCCAGU
This 4600-nucleotide long non-coding RNA is filed under the name Sus scrofa (pig). Its description in RNAcentral is "lncRNA (ENSSSCG00005037157.1)". Lineage: Eukaryota; Metazoa; Chordata; Mammalia; Artiodactyla; Suidae. The record is from RNAcentral.